This 301-nucleotide ribosomal RNA is filed under the name uncultured bacterium. Its description in RNAcentral is "partial 16S ribosomal RNA". It matches the Rfam family "Bacterial small subunit ribosomal RNA", at positions 509 to 807 of the family's 1533-position model. The record is from RNAcentral.
CAGUCGCCGCGGUAAUGCGAAGGGUGCAAGCGUUAAUCGGAAUUACUGGGCGUAAAGCGUGCGUAGGCGGUUUGUUAAGUCUGUUGUGAAGUCCCCGGGCUCAACCUGGGAAUGGCAAUGGAUACUGGCAAGCUAGAGUGUGUCAGAGGAUGGUGGAAUUCCCGGUGUAGCGGUGAAAUGCGUAGAGAUCGGGAGGAACAUCAGUGGCGAAGGCGGCUUACUGGCUCAUACUGGACGCUGAGGUGCGAAAGCGUGGGGAGCAAACAGGAUUAGAUACCCCUGUAGUCCCUGUCUCUUAUAC